UGAUGAACUACAUAGCAAAGCACAAUCUCCUAAAACCUGUUGUUGAUGUCUUUGUUGCUAAUGGAGAUCGCUACAAUCUUCUAAACUCAGCUGUUCUUGAACUUUUUGAGCAUAUUCGUAAGGAUAACUUGAAAAUAUUGCUCAAGUAUUUAGUCGACUCAUUCUGGGAUGAAUUGGUCAAGUUUGAAAAGUUGACAUCUAUCCAAUCAUUGAAAAUUAAAUAUGAGCAGUCUCUAGACAGCGCAGGAAUAAG
This 253-nucleotide unclassified non-coding RNA is filed under the name Hevea brasiliensis (rubber tree). The record is from RNAcentral. Lineage: Eukaryota; Viridiplantae; Streptophyta; Magnoliopsida; Malpighiales; Euphorbiaceae.